Molecule: non-coding RNA, 499 nt
Organism: Antechinus flavipes (yellow-footed antechinus)
Lineage: Eukaryota; Metazoa; Chordata; Mammalia; Dasyuromorphia; Dasyuridae
Source: the annotation of a RefSeq genome assembly
GGGCAGCUCAGAGCUCAGGCACAUGGAGAUGGGGUCCCAGGCUCAGAUGCUCUUUGUCCUGUUGUUCUGGAUCCCAGAUGCCCGAGGGGCCAUUGUGGUGACCCAGUCUCCAGCCUCCCUGGCUGCGUCUCCAGGAGAGGGAGUCACCAUGUCCUGCAGGACCAGUCAGAGCAUCGGCACCAACCUACACUGGUACCAACAGAAACCAGGCCAGACCCCUCGGCUCCUCAUUAGUUUUGCAACCACCCUGCAGUCUGGGAUCCCUGCCCGGUUCAGUGGCAGUGGCUCUGGGACAGAUUUCUCCCUCACAAUCAGCAAAGUGGAGGCUGAGGAUGCUGCUGUCUAUUACUGUCAAUAUGGCUAUAACUAUGUUCCCACAGUGAUACAGCCCCGAACAAAAACCUGCCAAGCAGCUGCUGAAGAAGAUAUCAGUGUCUCAGGGGUGUUUCUUUCCCUUCAGCUGGGAUGGGGGCAGCUUGUCUGGGCUGCCUCAGAAUAA